UGGGGAAUCUUGCGCAAUGGACGAAAGUCUGACGCAGCCACGCCGCGUGAGUGAAGAAGGCCUUCGGGUUGUAAAGCUCUGUCGGGCGGGACGAAAAGCAUGUGGGUUAAUAGCCCAUGUGCCUGACGGUACCGCCAAAGGAAGCACCGGCUAACUUCGUGCCAGCAGCCGCGGUAAUACGAGGGGUGCAAGCGUUGCUCGGAAUUAUUGGGCGUAAAGGGCAGGUAGGUGGUCUCGUUUGUCUGGGGUGAAAUCCUUGGGCUUAACCCAAGAAGUGCCUCGGAAACGGCGAGACUAGAGUACUGGAGAGGGUCGUGGAAUACCCGGUGUAGCGGUGAAAUGCGUAGAGAUCGGGUGGAACACCAGAGGCGAAGGCGGCGACCUGGACAGUAACUGACAC
This 400-nucleotide ribosomal RNA is filed under the name uncultured bacterium. RNAcentral's name for it is "bacterial SSU rRNA". It matches the Rfam family "Bacterial small subunit ribosomal RNA", at positions 355 to 746 of the family's 1533-position model. The record is from RNAcentral.